CUAAACAACUUUGACUUGACCAAACUUAAUGAAAAUCACUAAAGAUGCAAUGCACAUGUGAAAGAAACAAAAACUAAGACUCAAGAGUCAAGAAAAACAAUUAAGAAUCCAAAAUACCCAAUUCAGCUAAUUUUUUAAAAUUUUGAUAUUACAACAGAAUUAAAUCAAUCAAGAAUGAUGAAAGACCAUAGGAAAACAAUAGAAAACACUACAAAAUAGAAUUAGAAGAAAAAAAUUGAAAGAAAACCUCCAAGAAAGCAAGAUUGCAAUUCGAGUUCUUAUAUUCUUUCUCUAACCAAACAGCAACCAAAACCUAAUUUUAAGCUUCAAGAUUAAUAUAAAACCUUCAAGACUGUUGUUUAAUUAAUACAGGAUUAGAUUAAAAAGUGAAUAACCCUUGCACACUAAUUUUCUCAAUUUUGCCCAAAUGCUCAAGAAUAAGUAAAAAGAAGAAGAGAAUGAGAAAAUUCGUGGAAUCAGCAAGCAAUUAGGAUAUGAGAUUGUAUUUUUUAGAGUUCAAUCUCUUCUCAAGUUAGUUUGUUGUUAAUAUAAUCAGAUCUACCGCCCAAAUCCUCUUAUCUCUCUAAACUGAAUGGAUUAGUUGCUUUGUAGCUACACCUCUUCGUAGAAUAUAUAAAACUUGUGUUUGCCUAGAUUAGGACUAUUUUUUAACCCUAAGUACUAAGAAAAAAUGUGAUUAACAAGAUCAGCCCCUACAUACACUCAAAAAUAAAUCAAAAAUUAAGAUUAACAAGAUCAGCCCCUACAUACACUCAAAAAUAAAUCAAAAAUUAAGAUUUUCAAGAAAACACAUAAGAUAGUUCAAGAAAAUCAAGAUAUUCAAGGAAGCCUUCAAGAUUCAAUUUUCUUUUAAUACCUUUCUUCUUUCUUUUUUUGAUACUUUUUUUUCUUUUUCUUAUCAGAUCCGAAUAUGAAAUUACACAAAAUAAGAAUAAUAAUGUAAAUCAAGAACACAACCAUACCUCCAUUCCUAGAUCUCCAAGAAGCCAAAAUACCUUCACAAAAACUUAAAGAAACAAUUAAUACCUUAAACAAACUAGCAUACGCAAUCUGAUUUCCAAAAGUCAAAGCUCUAAUACCAAAUAUUAAGAACCUUUAAGAAUAGAACAUACAAACUCUAAUAGUUAUAAACCCGUAUAUCAUUAACAUAGAAAUCUACUAAAAAAUUGAAUCAAAUCCUAGAAUCACUCUAGAUCAUAUUAUAAAGUUGAUCAAUAGAAUUAGAACUUA
Molecule: long non-coding RNA, 1251 nt
Filed under: Ricinus communis (castor bean)
Lineage: Eukaryota; Viridiplantae; Streptophyta; Magnoliopsida; Malpighiales; Euphorbiaceae
Description: long non-coding RNA (RCOM_LNC002478)
Source: RNAcentral